This 21-nucleotide non-coding RNA is filed under the name Arabidopsis thaliana (thale cress). Lineage: Eukaryota; Viridiplantae; Streptophyta; Magnoliopsida; Brassicales; Brassicaceae. The record is from RNAcentral.
AAGUGUCUGAGUAUGCAAUAU